CUCGUUUUAAAGCUCAUUUGAAGCUAAUUCGUUGGACUAACGCUUUUAUGACAUUGGGCAUUAUAACUCUCUCUUUAUAAUACAUAUUUUUUUUAAUAGAAAAAGUAAAUAAUAAACGACAUACAGCCAUCUACACAGAGAGAAAUCUUUAACUAUCUUUAAAAUAUAAACCAAACAAUUACGUAAAAUACACAACGAAUUUCAAAAAAAAAAAAAAAAAAGAAUUAAUGAAUUUCAUUCUGUGUGUUUGGAAAUGUAAGAAGAGUUCUUAUCAUAUCCGGUGUAACGGUUGUCUACCCCUGAUUCACUAGCUGGCGCUAGAUUUGUAGUCGUCCCCAUAAUGGCGGGUACGAAUCCAACUUCACAACCUCAGGCUAAUCCAUUAAUGCGAGCACCGUUUGGGAUUGGGCCUGUUCCUCCAGGCCCAGCACCACCUGGUUUUAUACCCACAAUGGUUGCAGGUGGUCCAGGACCAAGUCCAGAUAUGAUCAAACCUCCUCCAGUUAUGCCACCUGGAAUACCACCAGCUUAUACACCUGUACCACCUUUUGUUCCUCCCCGUUCUAGUUCUGGAGCUGUACCAACACGACCUGGGGUACCACCACGCCCUGGAAUACCACCUCCUGGAUUACCUAUCCCACCUCCAGGCUUUCCACCCACAACAGGUAUGUCAGGCACUCCUGUCUCUCUUCCUGGUGCUUUACCUGGAUCUGUUGGUCAGACACAAACCACCCAGCAACCAUCUUCCAUUGCAGCUUCCUCAACCACUUCUAUAGAGUGUAAACCUGCUGAAAAGAAAACUGUUUGGACUGAACACAAAGCUCCUGAUGGUAGAACAUACUAUUAUAACAGUGUAACAAAACAGUCCAGCUGGGAAAAACCAGAUGAAUUGAAAACUCCUGCUGAACUAUUGUUAAGUCAAUGUCCAUGGAAAGAAUACAAAUCUGACACAGGAAAGGUUUACUAUCACAAUUCUGCCUCCAAAGAAUCUCGCUGGACCAAACCAAAGGAAUUAGAGGAACUUGAAGCUAUGAUAGUCAAGCAAGAAUUAGAUAAGAAACCAGUUGGAGAACUUGGUGUCAGCUUGAGUCCUAAUGUCACCAGUGGUGUUCCAGUUGUAUCAUCAACAUCUCAGUCGUCGGCUUCAGUUGUUCAGGCUCCUGUUUUGGUAGGAUCUACAAGUAGUGCUACUUCUCAAGUUCAUAAUACAGGCCCUCCGUCUGCAAUUCAGCAAGCUAUUCAAGCAACAUUGGCUUCUAUUGAACUUCCUCCACAACCAUCUGUUGUCCUUCAGCAACAAGUCCAACAACAUCAACAGUCUGCGACACAGCAAGCACAGUCAGCUGUAAGUAGUUCAUCAACUGUUACAUCUGCAGGAUCUGUGACUCCUGUUCCACAGAAACAAACUCCAACUCAAGUUGUUAUCGAUGGCAAUAAGACAGACUCAUCAUCAAACAGCAGCAGCGAAGGUGAAGAUGAUGAGAAAAAUGAAAGAAAAGAAUAUAUUUUCCGGAACAAAAAAGAAGCUAUUGAAGCAUUUAAAACUCUCCUACGAGAAAGGGAUGUGCCGUCUUCUGCUACAUGGGAGCAAGCUAUGAAAAUGAUCAUUAAUGAUGCAAGAUAUGGGGCAUUAAAACACUUGAAUGAGAAGAAACAAGCUUUUAAUGAAUACAAAACUCAAAAAGCUAAAGAAGAGAAGGAAGAACAGCGACUUCGAACGAAACAAGCUAAAGAAGACCUGGAAAAUUUUCUAUUAAAUAGUGACAAAAUGAAUUCUACUGUAAAAUAUUGGAAAGCAGAUAAUAUUUUUGGUGAUUUAGAUGUCUGGAAAAAUGUCUGUGAUCGUGAUCGACGGGAACUCUUCGAAGAUGUCUUACACAUGUUGGCAAAGAGAGAAAAGGAGGAAGCCAAAGCCUUACGAAAGCGUAAUAUUAAAGUGUUUUCUGAAAUCCUUGAUAGUAUGCCAAGUCUGACAUACUGUACAACAUGGUCAGAUGCUCAACAGAUGUUACUUGACAAUCCCAGAUUUACAGAAGAUCCAGAUUUACAAAACAUGGACAAAGAGGAUGCAUUAAUUUGCUUUGAGGACCAUAUACGUAUGUUAGAACAGGAAUAUGAUGAUGAAAAGGAACGAGAAAGGCGGAGGGUCAGGCGCCAGCAAAGAAAAAAUAGGGAGAGCUUCCAGGUUCUGUUGGACGAACUGCAUGAUCAAGGAAAAUUGAAUUCAAUGUCACUGUGGAUGGAUUUGUAUCCUAUUGUCAGUCAAGACCUUCGCUUUUCAAACAUCCUUGGACAGCCAGGUUCAACACCACUUGAUUUAUUUAAAUUUUAUGUUGAGGAUCUCAAAUCUAGGUUUCAUGAUGAGAAAAAGAUUGUAAAGGAAAUUCUAAAGGACCGAGGGAUUAUUGUGGAAACGAGUACAACAUAUGAGGAUUUUUCUUCGUGUUUAAACACAGACAAACGUUCUGGCAAUCUGGACUCUGGGAAUAUCAAGUUAACUUACAAUAGUCUCAUAGAGAAAGCUGAAGCACGAGAAAAAGAACGGUUAAAAGAAGAAGCAAGAAAAAUCCGGAGGCUUGAAGGUGCUUUCAAGGCCAUGUUAAAACAAGCUAGUCCGUCAAUAGAUUCUAUGACACGUUGGGAAGAUAUACGGGUACGGUUAGAAAAAGAAAUUCCAUUUGAAGCAAUAACUCUUGAAUCUGAACGAAUUCGAUUAUACAAGGAGUACCAAGUAGCAGUAUUAGAGCAGUGUUCACAUCACCAUUCUAAGAAGAAGAAAUCCAAAAAGCACAAACUAAAGCGGUCUCGGUCAAGAUCUCGAUCGUCUGAAUCAGAUGAUGACAUUUCAUCCCGUCAUAAAUUGAAGAAAAAAAAGAAAUCUAGAUCAGCCUCUCGCUCACCAAGUUAUAUGUCUGAAUCAGUUCUUCGCCAUGGGUUGUUUUACUGCAAGCGAAAGUUCCACGACACGAAAGAAAGAGAAUCAAAGAAAUUAUGACCAAGAAAUGGAAAGGGCAUCGAAACGACACAAAAAGAAAUCCAAAAAGAAAAAACAUCUUUCCAGAGCUGACUGGAAUUCAUCAGACAGUGACGUCAGUGAAGGGGAGUUAGAGAAGCGACGACGGCACCUGCUGCAG
RNAcentral lists this unclassified non-coding RNA (3134 nucleotides) under Octopus sinensis (East Asian common octopus). RNAcentral describes it as "pre-mRNA-processing factor 40 homolog A, transcript variant X3". Lineage: Eukaryota; Metazoa; Mollusca; Cephalopoda; Octopoda; Octopodidae. The record is from RNAcentral.